AGAGUUUGAUCCUGGCUCAGAAUCAACGCUGGCGGCGUGCCUAACACAUGCAAGUCGAACGCGAAAGUGGAGCAAUCCAUGAGUAGAGUGGCAAACGGGUGAGUAACACGUGGGUGACCUGCCUUCGAGCGGGGGAUAACGUCCCGAAAGGGACGCUAAUACCGCAUAACAUCCUGCUUUUUAAGAGGUGGAGAUCAAAGCUGGGGAUCGCAAGACCUAGCACUCGAAGAGGGGCCCGCGUCCGAUUAGCUAGUUGGUGGGGUAAUGGCUCACCAAGGCAACGAUCGGUAGCCGGCCUGAGAGGGCGGACGGCCACACUGGGACUGAGACACGGCCCAGACUCCUACGGGAGGCAGCAGUGGGGAAUUGUUCGCAAUGGGCGCAAGCCUGACGACGCAACGCCGCGUGGAGGAUGAAGAUCUUCGGGUCGUAAACUCCUUUCGAUCGAGACGAAUUCCCCUGGAGUGAACAGCUUCGGGGGUUGACGGUACCGAGAGAAGAAGCCCCGGCUAACUCCGUGCCAGCAGCCGCGGUAAUAC
RNAcentral lists this ribosomal RNA (539 nucleotides) under uncultured bacterium. RNAcentral describes it as "bacterial SSU rRNA". It matches the Rfam family "Bacterial small subunit ribosomal RNA", at positions 8 to 526 of the family's 1533-position model. The record is from RNAcentral.